Non-coding RNA from Micromonospora humi, 91 nucleotides. The record is from Rfam. NCBI's taxonomy places the organism in Bacteria, Bacillati, Actinomycetota, Actinomycetes, Micromonosporales, Micromonosporaceae.
ACCACCCACGUGGGAGAGACCGUCGAGCAGACGGCGCCGAAGGGGCAGAUUCUCCCCGGAACCUCUCAGGCAAAAGGACCACGUGGGCAGG